GAUGAACGCUGGCGGCGUGCCUAAUACAUGCAAGUCGAGCGAACAGAUGAGGAGCUUGCUCCUCUGACGUUAGCGGCGGACGGGUGAGUAACACGUGGAUAACCUACCUAUAAGACUGGGAUAACUUCGGGAAACCGGAGCUAAUACCGGAUAAUAUAUUGAACCGCAUGGUUCAAUAGUGAAAGACGGUUUUGCUGUCACUUAUAGAUGGAUUCGCGCCGCAUUAGCUAGUUGGUAAGGUAACGGCUUACCAAGGCAACGAUGCGUAGCCGACCUGAGAGGGUGAUCGGCCACACUGGAACUGAGACACGGUCCAGACUCCUACGGGAGGCAGCAGUAGGGAAUCUUCCGCAAUGGGCGAAAGCCUGACGGAGCAACGCCGCGUGAGUGAUGAAGGUCUUCGGAUCGUAAAACUCUGUUAUUAGGGAAGAACAAAUGUGUAAGUAACUAUGCACGUCUUGACGGUACCUAAUCAGAAAGCAACGGCUAACUACGUG
RNAcentral lists this ribosomal RNA (497 nucleotides) under uncultured bacterium. RNAcentral describes it as "partial 16S ribosomal RNA". It matches the Rfam family "Bacterial small subunit ribosomal RNA", at positions 28 to 507 of the family's 1533-position model. The record is from RNAcentral.